UGGGGAAUAUUGGACAAUGGGGGCAACCCUGAUCCAGCCAUGCCGCGUGUGUGAAGAAGGCCUUUUGGUUGUAAAGCACUUUAAGCGAGGAGGAGGCUACCCUGACUAAUACUCAGGAGUAGUGGACGUUACUCGCAGAAUAAGCACCGGCUAACUCUGUGCCAGCAGCCGCGGUAAUACAGAGGGUGCGAGCGUUAAUCGGAAUUACUGGGCGUAAAGCGCGCGUAGGCGGUUUGUUAAGUCGGAUGUGAAAUCCCCGGGCUCAACCUGGGAAUUGCAUUCGAUACUGGCAAGCUAGAGUAUGGGAGAGGAAGGUAGAAUUCCAGGUGUAGCGGUGAAAUGCGUAGAGAUCUGGAGGAAUACCGAUGGCGAAGGCAGCCUUCUGGCCUAAUACUGACGCUGAGGUGCGAAAGCAUGGGGAGCAAACAGGAUUAGAUACCCAGGUAGUCCCUGAGCGGGCUGGCAAGGCGCAU
This 473-nucleotide ribosomal RNA is filed under the name uncultured bacterium. Its description in RNAcentral is "bacterial SSU rRNA". It matches the Rfam family "Bacterial small subunit ribosomal RNA", at positions 355 to 825 of the family's 1533-position model. The record is from RNAcentral.